Molecule: long non-coding RNA, 1248 nt
Organism: Dromaius novaehollandiae (emu)
Lineage: Eukaryota; Metazoa; Chordata; Aves; Casuariiformes; Dromaiidae
Exons: 2
Source: RefSeq, a predicted model, not a curated record
ACCCGCUAAAUUAAUUUGGAGUUGUGUGCCGACGGAUGCCGGCACGAUAAUUUAAUGAAGCCCUGCAAAUAAACGUGCGCUGGUGGAGCCGGCGGGAUUACAGGAUACACGUUGAAUUUAUCGGGCGUCUGUUAAGCCGCCCAGCGAUUCUGAAGUUCGGGAAUUACUGUGGGACGUGAUGGUGGACGGGCAGACACACCUUCUGCGCGCGACCGCAGGAAGAAGCAAGCGCCAGCAAACCAGCAGAUUGAGCGGCUGGACGUGUGAUGGUCAGUCCUGGCCCCGUGUAUGAGUGCGUAUAUGUGCGUAUCCUUCUCGCAUCUCUUUAACAACCCCGUUAGACGUGAUAAGUGCUGGAGCUUGAACUUCAAGGCAAGCCGGCAGCGAGCGCUUCCGCCUGGCAGGCGAUAAGAGCCAGCAGGGAGGUUUGGAGAUGACGUGGGUUUUUCCGUGUAGCCUGUUUGUGCCCAGGACUUCGGUGAGGUCAUGUCGGAGAUAAAUCGAUUUGUUCUGCCGUCACAGCCGGCUUCGGCUUUCGUCGCACCUGCGAUAAGAGCGGUGGGUCCGCGUCUCCCGCCCUGGGUACAACGCCACUGCCACCGCCGCUGUGACCGGCAGCAGCCGGAGCAGGGUUAGACUUUGGGCUUCGAAGUGUCCUUGUGCCAACGGCUUUAUCACCGGGGCCAGACGAGCGCGUUGAAAGAAAGGAAGCGUUUCCGAUUCACCGGCCUUCCCCCCGCCAGCGUGUCUGCGUGUUUGCCGUUGCCCUUUAUUAUUAUUGUAGCUCCAGUGAUUACACACGUGGGGCCCUUUUGGCUUUGAGGUUCUUCUGCUUUGUUGGCGUCUCGGGCCAUUACUGAAAAGGUCGUUUAAAAACAAAAAUCCCUUGUCGAGUGGGUUCAGCUGCUCGCAGCCCUGGUAUCAAGGCGUAAUUAUUCAUCGCGAAUGCAUCGGAGAGUGGGCGGCAAAGGGUUAAGAGCGAGCGCUGGGGAAGGGAAAGAUCGUAUCAUUAAAUAAAAAUGCGACCACCCAUGAUUACAAGUGCUGCAGUCCUCCUUUUAACAAGCACACCCCGUACUUCCAUUAACCCGGGCCCGCUUGAAUAGCCGCCUGUCCGGCCGGGCGGUCGCGGUUCUGCGGAAGCUGUCCCCAACGACAAAGACGGGGCCACCUACCACGAACUUUCCUCCGCGACUUUAUUCUCCGGCAGUGCUCAAGUGUAAAUAAACGUGUUUACUCCCAUCAGGA